UAGCUCAGUCAGUUGAGCAUGACGCUAACAACGCCAAGGUCGCGGGUUCGAUUCCUGU
RNAcentral lists this transfer RNA (58 nucleotides) under Apaloderma vittatum (bar-tailed trogon). It matches the Rfam family "tRNA", at positions 8 to 63 of the family's 71-position model. From Rfam's summary of the family: Transfer RNA (tRNA) molecules are approximately 80 nucleotides in length. Their secondary structure includes four short double-helical elements and three loops (D, anti-codon, and T loops). The record is from Rfam by way of RNAcentral. Lineage: Eukaryota; Metazoa; Chordata; Aves; Trogoniformes; Trogonidae.